GAGGCAACCGGCAAACGAGGUAGUAACACGUAGGUAGACCCCCCCAGAGUCGGGCAUAGCCAGCCGAAAGGUUGGGUAAUUCCCGAUAGUCCCGAAAGGGUAAAGGUUUUUCGCUCUGGGAGUUGCCUGCGUAGUAUCAGCUAGUUGGUAGGGUAAUGGCCUACCAAGGCUACGACGCUUAGGGGAGCUGAGAGGCUGACCCCCACCGAUGGAACUGCGACACGGUCCAUACUCCUACGGGAGGCUGCAGACGAGAAUAUUCCGCAAUGGGCGAAAAGCCUGACGGAGCGACGCCGCGUGAUUGAUGAAGUGCUUCGGUACGUAAAGAUCUUUUAUCGGGGACGAAGUUUAUUGACGGUACCCGAUGAAUAAGGGGCUCCUAACUCUGUG
Molecule: ribosomal RNA, 390 nt
Filed under: uncultured bacterium
Lineage: Bacteria
Description: bacterial SSU rRNA
Rfam family: Bacterial small subunit ribosomal RNA
Source: RNAcentral